UAAAUGUAAGGCAUAAAGUGUGGUUUGGAAAGGUUGAGUGAAUUUUUGUAAUGUACAACUCACAAACCAUGUAAGCUGAAGAUGAGAGGGUAAAAGAUGGGAGAUUCAGCUUCUUGAAAUUGGAUCAAUAUUGAUAUUUACAAGCAUGAAGAAAUUUCAAUAACAAAGGUAUUAUUUAAAUUAGAAAUUGUUGUUUGAAUGAUAUUGUACUAAAGCGAUAUAAGUUUGAACAAAAUUUUAAAAAUAUUUUGCAGGUUGUAUUGAUUCUUAGCAAGCUUGCUAAAUGUAGAAGUCUUUACUUUCCUUGGAACAUGAGGUACUGUUUAUCGGUAUAUUUUUUUUAUUCUUAUUUCUUUCUAAUUUAAAUUUUUGUUUGAGAACACAGGUUUGACAAAAGUAGAAUUCUUUCUUAAAGAGAAAAGGGGGAUAGUAAGAAUGUAGUGAGAUUUGGAUUUUGUGAAAGAUUUGGGUAGAAAAAGAGCCGUAAGCAGGUAUGGGCGAAGAAGGGCUAGUUUUAUAGGUUCUAAAUAUUUAGGAAAGUGAUAUAAUUAUAUUAUAUUAUAUUAUUAUGUAAUAUACAUAUGUAUACAUGUAUAUCUAUUAUAUUAU
RNAcentral lists this long non-coding RNA (609 nucleotides) under Panax ginseng (ginseng). RNAcentral describes it as "long non-coding RNA (PGIN_LNC017700)". Lineage: Eukaryota; Viridiplantae; Streptophyta; Magnoliopsida; Apiales; Araliaceae. The record is from RNAcentral.